AUGGGUCUAGGCUAGUUCUUUACUACAUUACUUUUCUGAGGAUCUACAUGAAUACCAGCCCCUAAAAAAAUAUGCCUCAAGAAGGUAACAGAUUCCAACCAAAACUCACAUUAUCCAAACUCACAUAUAAUUGGCGGUCCUUGAGGGUCUGCAGCACUAUUCUCAAAUACUCUGUAUGUUCCUCCUCACUCCUAGAAUUCUCCAGGAUGUCAUCUAUAAUGACAAUGACAAA
RNAcentral lists this long non-coding RNA (232 nucleotides) under Capsicum annuum. RNAcentral's name for it is "long non-coding RNA (CANN_LNC002442)". Lineage: Eukaryota; Viridiplantae; Streptophyta; Magnoliopsida; Solanales; Solanaceae. The record is from RNAcentral.